AUGUGGCUUUCACCCCUUCGGGACUUGACAACAAGGCCAGGAAACCAGGCCGAGGCUGUCAGGGAAAGCCCUUCUACUGCGGUGGACGCCCACAGGGACAAUGCGUCACCGUUUGAAGGCACCCAAUGUAUUGUGAUCAUGUUCGGCCCGGCCAAGCUCCAAACAGGCUGGAGGAAGGAGAAGAGGCAACUGUUCCUUUCUUCAGAAAGAAGGGACAGAUGGCGCGCCUUCCUUGAGAGGUACAUCGAUCUGGCCAAGGAGAAGGAGCAGCCAAAAAGCAUUCCCCUCAAAAUCUUUACCGAGGACAUCAAUAACUGUGCCUGUGUAAGUGUUUUCAGGACCAUUAACUUAAAUUCCAGGUCCCUGACUUAG
This 372-nucleotide long non-coding RNA is filed under the name Camelus dromedarius (Arabian camel). Its description in RNAcentral is "lncRNA (ENSCDRG00005002402.1)". Lineage: Eukaryota; Metazoa; Chordata; Mammalia; Artiodactyla; Camelidae. The record is from RNAcentral.